UGUUUAUAUUGUUUAUGAACGUGCAGGUAUAGCUGAAAACUUAGACAUUUUAAGAAAAUUAAAAAUGCUGCUUUUCUGUAAUUUUAUCGUUGCUUCAUGCAAUAUAACUGCUGCUGAUUCAGAUUGCUUUCUAUGGGAAGAGAUCUCUGCCAGUUUCUUUAUUAACGGUCAAGAUCAAUUCUUCUGUACUGAAAUUUUCCAUACACAGAUACAAGUCAGUCAGGUUGGAACUGAGACUCCAUAGAGGCUCUCGUAUUCCUAUGGGUGUGCAUGUCUGGAUUCAUAUGCAAUCUAGAUUAUUCCUGUGGUCAAUCCUCCCCAUCUUCUGGUGUGAUUUCUGUCUCUUUAUGUACCACUACUUUGGUCACUGACAUGUCAGGGUGCUGCUCUUUGGCUUCUUUAAUUGCCUGAGCCAGCGCCUGAUCAUGAUCAAUAUCUGCAUCUCCUGUGAUGACUAUUCGUUUUUCGAUUCUUGUUUCUGAGAUGCCUCCUUUCACAGUUUUGGUGAUAUGUGUAGUGGUUGUAGUGCUGGUGGUUUCAGACGUGAUAGUUUGUGCACUCAUCAGCACACCAGGCUCUGAGUCAGCACCACUAUCCACCUGUGAAGACUCAUAUGUAAUGGUUUUUGUUUCUGUAUGGACUACUGGCACUUCCUUUGUUGAAAUUUCAAGGUUUUCCCCCCCAGUAGAAACACUACUGAAACUGAUUGUUUCAGUCUUCACAACUGGUGACUCAAAACGAGGUUUUCUUUCCAAAGAGUCUGAAACGUGGACUGUUGUACUGUGCUCCUCCGCUUGCUCAUGAGAAGUAGCAGCAGCAAUGCCUUCCUGUUUGGUUACAGCUUUGUGAGCCUCCCUUUUUUCCUCUUUAGCCCCCUUAGUCACAGCAGAGCCCUCCUUCCCUUUUGCGCUAGCAGAUGCUGCCUGAGCCUGGGCAUCCGCAAGUCCAGCCACUGAAGCGGGAUCCCCACUUGCAUGCACAUUCAUCCCACGUCUCUCCUCGAUAACCACAGUCUCCUGUACAACCUUUGUCACUGCAUCCUGGUGUGGCUGAGCCGCUUGCUUCAAUUCACUGGAAGUUACCUCCUGAGAUGUCGUCGUGUCUAUUCUCUGCAUUUCAAGGAAUGUAGUACCUCCUUUCUGCAAUACUAUGAGUUUUUCUGAUUUUUCUCUUUCUUCUUUGGUCUCUUCAGGCACUAGUGGUUCAAUCAUAGGAGCCUCCUCCUGCCUUGCUGCAAGCCGAACGGGAGAUGUGGAAAGCCUCUUCUCCCACUCAUUAGACACAGCCGUUUCUGUGGAGGUUUCCAAGAAGGUUCGUUUCAGCUCGCUUAUAUUGGUCUGAUGUUUCAUCAGAUCUUCCUGGGUUUUGUCUAGGUCCUUUGUGUCAUGGCGUACUGCUGAGAUGGGGGUGACUUCCUCUGCUCUUUUCUUUUUGCCCUCUUCAUCAUCUUUCUCUUCUUCUGCCUUUUUCUCCGGAGUCACAGUGGUUAUCAAAUUGGUCUGAGAGAUGCCCUUUGUUGUGGCGUACUGGCCAGUACCAAC
Molecule: long non-coding RNA, 1541 nt
Filed under: Gallus gallus (chicken)
Lineage: Eukaryota; Metazoa; Chordata; Aves; Galliformes; Phasianidae
Source: RNAcentral